This 253-nucleotide ribosomal RNA is filed under the name uncultured bacterium. Its description in RNAcentral is "partial 16S ribosomal RNA". It matches the Rfam family "Bacterial small subunit ribosomal RNA", at positions 524 to 776 of the family's 1533-position model. The record is from RNAcentral.
UACGUAGGGUGCGAGCGUUAAUCGGAAUUACUGGGCGUAAAGUGUGCGCAGGCGGCCGAGCAAGUCGAGUGUGAAAGCCCCGGGCUUAACUUGGGAAUUGCGCUCGAAACUACGUGGCUGGAGUGUGGCAGAGGAAGGUGGAAUUCCAGGUGUAGCGGUAAAAUGCGUAGAGAUCUGGAGGAACACCGAUGGCGAAGGCAGCCUUCUGGGCCAACACUGACGCUCAUGCACGAAAGCGUGGGGAGCAAACAGG